AUGGACUCAGUGGCGUUUGAAGAUGUGAUUGUGACUUUUACCUGGGAAGAGCGGCCUUUGCAAGGUCCUUCCUGGAAGAAUCUACAUAAAAAUGUGAUCCAAAAAAUCUUAAGGAACUUGGGUUAUAUAGAAAACCAAUGGAGAGACAAACAUAUUGAAAAUCAGUACAAAAAAUUCUUUCAGAGAUUUAAGGAUGAUAAAGAGACUGGAUGAAAUUAAAUAAUGUAGUCAGUGGAGAGAAACCUUCACCCAGAUUCCAAAUCUUAGCCUGAACAAAAAUCCUUAGCACUGGAGUAAAACUACAUGAAUGCAUUGUGUUGAAAAGUGUUCAUAUAUCACUUGUCCCUUCAUAGGCACAUUAUAUCUCACUCUGGAUACAAACAAUAUGAGUGUGCAGAAUGUGGAGAGAAGCCAUCUAAAUCUAAACAGUGUCAGAAAGCCCUCAUUUAUCUCACAACUACUCAAAGACACAUGGUAACUCCCAUUGUAAAUGAACCUUAUGAAUGUACAGUAUGUGAGAACGCCUUUGAUUUUUCCAAUUUAUUUCAAAUACAGCAGAGAAUUCCCAUUGCAGUAAGCCCUGUGGAUGUAAACAAAAUUGUAAUCUCUUCAGGUUUUCUAUUUCCUGUCCAAUACAUAAAAGAACUUACACUGGAGCAAAGCCCAGUGAAUAUAAGGAAGGUGGGAAAUCAUUUGAUUUUCCCUUGUUUUUUAAUAAAAGACAUGAAAGUAUUCACUCUGGAGGAAAGCCCUAUCAGUGUAAGAAAUGUGGUAAAUCCUUUGCUAUUUUAUUUCUCUUUAUAACCAUGAAAAAUAUCAUUCUGGAGAGAAACCCUAUUAAUGAAAGCAAUAUGGUAAGUCCCUCAGUCAUUCUGUUCUGUUCAUUAUUUAUUGAGCAUUUUAUUCAAAGACAUGAAAGAACUCACAGUGGAGACAAAUCCUAUGAAUGUAAGAAAUGCGGUAAAGCCUUCAGUCUUUCCAGGAACCUUUAUAGACAUGAAAUAAUUCAUCAUCAAGAGAAACCUUAUUAAUGUAAGGAAUGUGGGAAAGCCUUCAGUCAUUCCAGUUACCUUUAUAGACAUAAAAGAACCAUAGUGGAGAGAAACCCUGUAAAUAUAAGGAAUGUGGGGAAGCCUUCAGUUGUUCCAGCCAUCUUUAUAACCGUGGAAUAACUCAUACCAGAGAUAAACCCUAUGAAAAUUCUAUAAACCUAAAAAAAUGUGGUUAAAGCCUUCAGAUAUACUGGUGAUUCUCGAAUACAUGAAAGAACUCACUGGAGUGAAAUCUUGUGAAUGGAAGAAAUGUAGAAGAGCAUUUAAUUUUCUUGGUUUCUUUCAAAGAUAUGAAACAAAACAAACUGAAUAAAAAACCCUAUGACUAGAAGAAAUGUGGUUUGAAAAUGGGAAAGGACUCUGAAGAAAAACCUUAUGAGUGUUAGAAAUAUUAUGAGGCUUUCAGCUCUUCCAGUUCUAUUUGAUGACAUAAAAUAACUCAUUGUGGAGGAAAACUCUAUAAAUGUCUAAAAUGUGGGAAUGCCUUCAUUUCUUUCAUAUUUAUUCAAAGACACAUGAUAAUGCACACUGGAAAUGGACCAUAUAAAUAUAAGAAUGCGCCCCUUACUAUGCAACUAUGCAUAAUAAUAUGGAAAAUACAGAAAUAUUCCAUUUUAAUUAUAUUAAAAAUCACAUGACAUCUAUUGGAAUGAAAUCCUAUAAAUGUAAGUAAUAUGGAAAGCCUGAUGCAAACUCAUUAUUGUAGAGUGGUUGAGAAA
RNAcentral lists this long non-coding RNA (1771 nucleotides) under Homo sapiens (human). Its description in RNAcentral is "non-protein coding lnc-AMER1-1:1". Lineage: Eukaryota; Metazoa; Chordata; Mammalia; Primates; Hominidae. The record is from RNAcentral.